GACGAACGCUGGCGGCGUGCUUAACACAUGCAAGUCGAACGAUGAAGAAGAGACACGCGAACUUCGGUUCAAAUUUCACUUCGGAUUAGUGGCAGACGGGUGAGUAACGCGUGAGCAACCUACCUCUUACAAAGGGAUAGCCUCGGGAAACCGUGAUUAAUACCAUAUGACACAUUCAUAAGGCAUCUUAAGAAUGUUAAAGCUACGGCGGUAAGAGAUGGGCUCGCGUCCCAUUAGCUAGUUGGUGAGGUAACGGCCCACCAAGGCGACGAUGGGUAACCGGCCUGAGAGGGUGAACGGUCACAUUGGAACUGAGACACGGUCCAAACUCCUACGGGAGGCAGCAGUGGGGAAUAUUGCACAAUGGAGGGAACUCUGAUGCAGCGACGCCGCGUGAGCGAUGAAGGAAUUCGUUUCGUAAAGCUCUGUUCUAUGGGAAGAAAAGGACUGUACCAUAGGAGAAAGCCCCGGCUAAAUACGUG
Molecule: ribosomal RNA, 482 nt
Filed under: uncultured bacterium
Lineage: Bacteria
Description: partial 16S ribosomal RNA
Rfam family: Bacterial small subunit ribosomal RNA
Source: RNAcentral